Triticum dicoccoides is the source of this 1412-nucleotide long non-coding RNA. RefSeq lists it as uncharacterized. The transcript is spliced from 2 exons. The record is from RefSeq and is a predicted model, not a curated record. NCBI's taxonomy places the organism in Eukaryota, Viridiplantae, Streptophyta, Magnoliopsida, Poales, Poaceae.
AUCCUAUCAUGUCCCAAAAUUCUCCAGUUGAAAGAAAUAUUAUCCAGCACUAACUUGUUCCAACAGGUCUUGUUUGCCCACAACCAAAAGGCGACCAUCUUCGUCAUCAUCGCUCACGGCACUGACCAUCGAGGCCACAGUGGGCAUGAGAAGUGCGCAUCGCCCAAGACUUGGACCGCUUCAAAGUAGCGCAAGCUGCCAUGGCCAUCUUCUUCCUCCUCCGCUGCUUUUGCGCCCGUGGUGCCAGGUGAGUGGCUGCACUGCGUUUUUUUGGCAUGAACAGAAGCGACGCAGGGGCAUGGACUUGACUGGCCGAGAUGAGAUGACAGCGGCCUCGGCAGGAUGGCAGGGGAAACGGCUCGGCAGGAUGGCAGGGGAAACGGUCUAGAUUCUACGUGAUGUGGAUGCUGCUGCAGGGCGUCCCUUUCUUGAUUUUCAGCAGCGGGCAGUCCAGUCUCCAGUCUAUGGCUGUGGCUUGUGACAGAGAGAAUUAAUUCUUUUCGAGCUGUUUUCCUGGAGGGUUCCAAGGUUGCUUCCGGCGAAGAGGCACACGAAGACGUUGAAAUCGAAGGCAACUUCCUUUACCCUUGUUUUCCUCUUAUAUAUGGUGUCAACCAACAUGGAGGCAAAUGCAACGCACCUAAAAAAGUGGAACCACUUUCAUCAAAACCAUUAUUAUUACAGUAUAUUUUAUGUUAUUUUGUUUUGUUUUAGUAUUAGUCUUUGUGUAAUGAUUUUUCCACCUUGAAUUCCUGCUCGUCAACACAAGGAAAAAAAAAACAGAGGAGGAAAGAAGUUCAAGGCUUUGGAACAAUUCAACACGGUUUUCUGCGUUCAGCGACACCGACGGCCGGACGGAAAAGGAUACUUGGAGAUAUGUGGUGCGGUGUGUCACACCCUUUUGGAAUUUGCUGUGGAAAGUCACGGCUAGUGGACAUCUUGGUGAGCUUUUUUGUCCCUACUCCGGCACUCCAUUGCUGAGGCUGUGAAUGAUGGAUGAUGCGCUCGCUCGCCUUUUACCGUUUCAAUGCAAGCGGACGUCGGUGUCAGUGGAGCCUACGUUGCCUGCGACCGAGGCAAUGCUUCACCUUCGCUGCUCACUUUCCCUGCUUGGAUCAUCUCAUCUGGGUUUCUAAUUAGUACUGUACUAAAGUUGGUAUAAAGUUGGGUCAUCUAUUUUGGAACGGAGGGAGUAGAACAGUGGGGAAAUGCUGGUGCGGAAUUCCUUGGUUUUCGGACGGGACGUCCAAGAUAGACAUGCCUGGUUCAAGCUAAAUACAGGUCAAAGAUUUUGUGUUCAACAGUUUGUUUGUUUUCUCCUUGCCUUAACCGCGCACAUAUUUAUUUUCUGUAAUAAAAUAUGUGUGGCUGCGAAAGGGUUGACCGGGGUCAAGAGUGAGUGGCUUCUUUUC